CCUACGGGAGGCAGCAGUGGGGAAUAUUGCACAAUGGGCGCAAGCCUGACGCAGCGACGCCGCGUGAGUGAUGAAGGUCUUCGGAUCGUAAACCACUGUCAGCAGGGAGGAAGGGUCACUGUGCUAAUAACCAGUGAAUUGACGGUACCUACAAAGGAAGCACCGGCUAACUCCGUGCCAGCAGCCGCGGUAAUACGGAGGGUGCGAGCGUUAAUCGGAAUUACUGGGCGUAAAGCGCUCGUAGGCGGUAGAUCAAGUCAAGGGUGAAAUCCCCGGGCUUAACGCGGGAACUGCAUGUGAAACUGGUAAACUGGAGUGUGGGAGAGGAGAGUGGAAGUCCAUGUGUAGGAGUGAAAUGCGUAGAGAUGUGGAGGAAUACCAGUGGCGAAGGCGACCACCUGGACAAUAACUGACGCUGAGGAGCGAAAGCGUGGGGAGCAAACAGGAUUAGAUACCCCUGUAGUC
RNAcentral lists this ribosomal RNA (465 nucleotides) under uncultured bacterium. RNAcentral's name for it is "partial 16S ribosomal RNA". It matches the Rfam family "Bacterial small subunit ribosomal RNA", at positions 338 to 795 of the family's 1533-position model. The record is from RNAcentral.